RNAcentral lists this long non-coding RNA (2387 nucleotides) under Sus scrofa (pig). Its description in RNAcentral is "lncRNA (ENSSSCG00000044694.2)". The record is from RNAcentral. Lineage: Eukaryota; Metazoa; Chordata; Mammalia; Artiodactyla; Suidae.
UGUGACGUCAUCACGUCCACGCGAGCGAGCGCUAGGCCCGCCUGCUCUAUUUAAGUCGCGGGACUCAAUAUGGCGGCGCGCGCUCGGCCGCUUGACCCCGGUGUCCCCUAAAGCGGGUAAGGGAUGAAACUUUCUCAUCUCGAGUCAUGCUGUUUUCGGAAACGUAGGGAUGCGUUUUAAUCCCUAUGCGCCACCCGCGGGUCGGCCCUCACCUGCGAGUCGGCUGACCGUGAAAGACCCUCACUUGCUGUGCACCGGAAGGGCUUGGUCUUCUUGGCCUCUGUUUCCCGGAAGUGGUUUCCCUCCACCUCCUCAGGAGGGCCGGCCUUCCCUAAGGGCGGAGUCUAGGGCUUCUUUGGGACUGAAUAUGCAUUAGCUUUUGGAAGUCCAGCUAUGAUUUUCCCCUAAGCAUUGUUACAAAGGCCGGACUGCGGCUCUGGGCACCGUUCACAUCCUCGGCCGCCUUUGGCUUUGUGACCUUGGGCCGGUUGUAUAAGCUCUCUGAGCUUCCCAGGUGACUUCUCUGCAAAGUGGGCUGGUAACGCCCGAGUUGGUGCUAAAUCCUAAAGUUCAUGCUGCGAACCGGUCCCUCAACAGAUCAGCCUCUGUUUGGUCUGCUGGCAGGCCCCACGGGCUCCUGAGAGACGUGAGAAGCAGCUUUGUAUGGGAGCCACCUCUGCUCGCGUUUCCACCCAGAAUCAAAGGACUGACCAUUCUUUCAAUCCCUAAGCGGUGUCUUUUCUAUCUAAUCCUAAUAACCAAGCCUGGAGGAAUUGUAGACUUUCUGGUUAAAGGUUCAACAGGUCUCCUCGUUUAAGGAUAGAGUUAAGUCUCAGUGAAGCUACAGAGGAGAAUCUGAAAAAUGCAAAUGUUACUACCUUAACCGAAAGAGGGAGGAGGGGGCGCUUUCCUAAAUGGCCUUUACCUUGGACCUUUUCUUUCUCCUGGCAUUUGGGCUGCCAAGGAUCUUGCUUCUGCCCCACCAACACACUGAAAGCAAGAGCUCUUGACGUGAUGACUAAGGAAUAGAAUUUGGUUUUCAUUCGGAGACAGCUGAUUCUGAAGCCAUCUUAAAGCCUAAGCAUAGCACAACUGCAUUCAUGAUUCUAUGAAUUCUUCCUACCAUUGGAACUUAGGGAAGGGGAGAGGAAGUGUGCAUCUAGGAAAUGUGGAAGGACACGCUCUUCCUUCUUUCAUCCUUCCGCUGCCUUCUAACUCUGUGGUCGAGUGUGGUCUUCCCAGGAGAGCAUCUUCCAGGAAACUUAUUAGAAAGGAAGAACCCCAGGCCUCAUUUCACAUCUGAAGCAGAGUCUGCCUUGUAGCCGACUCCUCAGCCAUUGCUAGGCAUGCUAAAGUUGACGAGGCCGUGGUUUAACUCCUGGGGUGGUCUGGUUUAAAGUGAUGAGAUGGCAUCAAAGAUGACGGAAGGACAGAGUCAGCAGAGCCAGAAUUUGGGGCAGUGGAGGCAGAGCACCUAUUUCCUGCAUUUGGGCACUGCCAGCAGGUUGAUUCAGAAGAUGGGUGAAAAAUUUGUUCCUGGGGUAGCAGGAGGAGCAUCACGACUUUGGAAUCGUUUGCUUAAAAGAAGGAUGAGCUUGGCUGUUCAUACCAUACAUCCCGGAGGUCUUCAGCAAGGUGAGGUUCCUCUGACCAAGAAGCCGGCUGCCUAGAUGCGCUAAGCACAGCUCCCUCGCAUAUUCUGGAGCAUUGACCACAAUAGCCCUUUCGGUGGUCCUGGUGGCAGCCGUCCAGCCAGUUCUGCUGUCGUCUUUCUCGUGUGUUCCCAGCUGACACUACGGUCGUCUGGCAGCAGGAGGGUCCGCCUCUUCCACUCUUGGUGACGUUUCACAUUCUGGGAACCUCCUCCCGUCACCCCACAAUGGCGUUUUGUGUCUUGAUCCCCGUGGAAGAGCCCGGCGCACACACAGCUUAGCCUCUUCAUUCCUGGAGCCGUUCUACGUAUGCGAGACUGAAGCCAGGACAGAGGUCUUCAUCCUGGGUGUGCUUAUUCUUCACACCCUUCCCGAUGGUGGAGGUGAAGGUGCUGGUGGAUGAUAUAUCAGAAGCGACACCCCGGAACAGAGACCGCCUGUGACUGGAGCCCCAUUCCUGGCUGAACUGUACUGGGAAGAGCAGACCUGAGCAAGAUCUCUGAGACUUGGCCUCUGGCUUGAAGGUUGCACCACGGUGAGACUGAGAAGGCGCUUCCUGGAGGCCCCCAUUGACUCUGAAAGUUUCCAGUCUGGAAGAAAGAGAGCAGGUCGCUGCAAGCACUGAGGAUGAAAAGCCUCUGGAAACAAGGAACCGCCAGGCUUGGUCAGUGCCCCACCUGGAGAACAAGACCAGGGUCGCACCCUCAGCAUAGGGAAGCUCGUGGGCAUACGGAA